ACGUAGGGACCAAGCGUUGUUCGGAUUUACUGGGCGUAAAGGGCGCGUAGGCGGCAUGACAAGUCACUUGUGAAAUCUCUGGGCUUAACCCAGAACGGCCAAGUGAUACUGUCGCGCUAGAGUGCGGAAGGGGCAAUCGGAAUUCUCGGUGUAGCGGUGAAAUGCGUAGAUAUCGAGAGGAACACCUGCGGCGAAGGCGGGUUGCUGGGCUGACACUGACGCUGAGGCGCGAAAGCUAGGGGAGCGAACGGGA
Molecule: ribosomal RNA, 253 nt
Filed under: uncultured prokaryote
Description: partial 16S ribosomal RNA
Rfam family: Bacterial small subunit ribosomal RNA
Source: RNAcentral